CCUUUAGCUCAGUUGGUAGAGCAGCUGACUCUUAAUCAGCGGGCCCAGGGUUCGAGUCCCUGAAGG
This 66-nucleotide transfer RNA is filed under the name bovine gut metagenome. It matches the Rfam family "tRNA". From Rfam's summary of the family: Transfer RNA (tRNA) molecules are approximately 80 nucleotides in length. Their secondary structure includes four short double-helical elements and three loops (D, anti-codon, and T loops). The record is from RNAcentral.